RNAcentral lists this ribosomal RNA (633 nucleotides) under uncultured bacterium. Its description in RNAcentral is "bacterial SSU rRNA". It matches the Rfam family "Bacterial small subunit ribosomal RNA", at positions 94 to 743 of the family's 1533-position model. The record is from RNAcentral.
AGCGGCGGACGGGUGAGUAACACGUGGGCAACCUGCCUUGUAGAGGGGAAUAGCCUUCCGAAAGGAAGAUUAAUACCGCAUAACAUUGCAAUCUCGCAUGAGAAUGUAAUUAAAGGAGCAAUCCGCUACAAGAUGGGCCCGCGGCGCAUUAGCUAGUUGGUGAGGUAACGGCUCACCAAGGCGACGAUGCGUAGCCGACCUGAGAGGGUGAUCGGCCACAUUGGGACUGAGACACGGCCCAGACUCCUACGGGAGGCAGCAGUGGGGAAUAUUGCACAAUGGGGGAAACCCUGAUGCAGCAACGCCGCGUGAGUGAUGAAGGUUUUCGGAUCGUAAAGCUCUGUCUUCAGGGACGAUAAUGACGGUACCUGAGGAGGAAGCCACGGCUAACUACGUGCCAGCAGCCGCGGUAAUACGUAGGUGGCAAGCGUUGUCCGGAUUUACUGGGCGUAAAGGGAGCGUAGGCGGACUUUUAAGUGGGAUGUGAAAUACCCGGGCUCAACUUGGGAGCUGCAUUUCAAACUGAAAGUCUAGAGUGCAGGAGAGGAGAGUGGAAUUCCUAGUGUAGCGGUGAAAUGCGUAGAGAUUAGGAAGAACACCAGUGGCGAAGGCGACUCUCUGGACUGUAACUGA